UUUAUUUAGUAACUGUAUUAUUUUAGUGGAGCUGAUAGGUCAGUAUAGUAGUAGAAUGUCUAAUUAAGAAUGAUUUAAGUACUGCAGGGGAAGUAAAUAAAAUAAUAAAGAGAAGAGGGACACGCUUGUACCUUUUGUAUCAUGGCCUAGUAAGAAGAGAGAGUAAAUACUUGUUCUCGAAGUCAGGAGAGCUUUUUUAUUUUUUGUUUUUAGACCAAACAAUGCUAAGUGUGGCAAAACUUAGGUGAUAGAAUAGAAAAGAUGUAAAAUUCUAUACGUUCUUGAGGAUAGCUAGUUUUUACAGAAAAACAUUUAAGUGUUGUGGUCAAAGAUCAAUUGUUACAGUUAUUCUGCUAAAAUUGCUUAGACUAAUUAGGCAGUGGGGGAUAAGCUCUACUGGGAUAGAUAAAAAGUCUGAGUUGUUGCUAGGCUUAUAGUUGGCCAGGACUUUAUCAGUUUGUUAUAAAUGAUUGAUGUAGUGGGAUAUUAAAGAUUUGGUUCUAUUAAAAUGAUGUAAAUACACUAAAAGGUUAGGAUUAGUGUUAACUAUGCUAGGAUGAGUAUUAAAAAUUCUAUAAGGAGUGCUAAAGUAAAGUAUAAGGCAAGAUAGAAGAGAAGGACAAAAAUAUAAAAUUUUUAAAAGGAAUUCGGCAAAAUAAGUUCUCGCCUGUUUAGCAAAAACAUGGCUCUCUGCUAUAUAAUAGAGAGUUUGGCCUGCCCAGUGAUUAAUUUAACGGCCGCGGUACCCUAACCGUGCUAAGGUAGCAUAAUCAUUUGCCUUUUAAUUGGAGGCUGGAAUGAAUGGUUUGACGGGGAAUAACUGUCUCUUGAGGAAAAGUAAAAAUUAAUCUUUAGGUCAAAAAGCCUAAAUAGAAUAAUUAGACGAGAAGACCCUAGCGAGCUUUACCUUUUUUUGUGGAAAGCUCAAAAUAAGGGUUGAUUGGGGCGAUAGGGGAGCAAAGAAAACCUCCCUUAAUUAUUUGGAAAGUGAUGACUCUUUGAUCCAAUAGCUGUUGAUUAAAAGAAAUAGUUACCGUAGGGAUAACAGCAUUAUUCUCUUUGAGAGUCCUAAUCGAAAAGAGAGUUUGUGACCUCGAUGUUGGACUAGGAUAUCCUAAGGGUGCAGAAGCUCUUAAAGGUGGGUCUGUUCGACCCUUAAAAUCCU
Molecule: unclassified non-coding RNA, 1165 nt
Filed under: Novastoa bahamensis
Lineage: Eukaryota; Metazoa; Mollusca; Gastropoda; Littorinimorpha; Vermetidae
Description: partial 16S ribosomal RNA
Rfam family: Bacterial large subunit ribosomal RNA
Source: RNAcentral